RNAcentral lists this long non-coding RNA (629 nucleotides) under Phoenix dactylifera (date palm). RNAcentral describes it as "long non-coding RNA (PDAC_LNC018547)". The record is from RNAcentral. Lineage: Eukaryota; Viridiplantae; Streptophyta; Magnoliopsida; Arecales; Arecaceae.
UGAAGUUUGGGUCGACUCAUGCUUACCUUGGGUCGACCCAACUCACUGUUCAUCUGUGCCAAUUUUGCAGAAGUGUGCCAAAUGACUUCUUGAUGUGCCGGGGUCGACCCAAUCAUCCUUUGGGUCGACUCAAUCUACACUUUGCUGCAUCUCAAGGUUAGAUUUAUUCAAAUGAACAAAGCCAUGUAUCUAUUAUCAAUUCAUACAAAUAUACUGAGAGUAAUGAACUUAUAAAUGAAGUAUCAAUUUAACUUAUAAUAUACUCUAGAUAAUUGCUUGUUAAUCAUCAAAAUAACACUAUCAUCCUCAGAUAUGCCCUUUACCAUUGUCUCCAUAGGUUACUAUUCCACCUUUCUUUGAUUCCAAGGUGACAAAUUGAUCUACGUCACCGGUCAUGUGUCUUGAACAGCCGCUAUCUAGAUACCAUCGUUUUUCCACUUUAUCAGCUGUAAGACACACCUGCAAUCAAGAUCAAGAAGAAACUUUAGGUACCCAAACUAAGUUGGGUCCUUUAGGGUUAGUACUCCAUGUUCCUUUUGGAACCCAAACUUUCUUGAAGUUAAUCUUUUGAUUAUAACUUGAUUUGUUUUGACUGGACUUUCUAAAGUUACAUUCAUAUGCUCUAUGUC